This 1233-nucleotide ribosomal RNA is filed under the name metagenome. RNAcentral's name for it is "bacterial LSU rRNA". It matches the Rfam family "Bacterial large subunit ribosomal RNA", at positions 1564 to 2810 of the family's 2925-position model. The record is from RNAcentral.
UGAAUACGAGACGCUACGGCGUCGAAGCAGUCUAUGUCAUACUUCCAAGAAAAGCUUGCACUGUCAUAAACAAAUAAUGCCUGUACCAUAACCGACACAGGUGGGUAGGUAGAGUAUACUAAGGGGCGCGAGAUAACUCUCUCUAAGGAACUCGGCAAAAUGACUCCGUAACUUCGGGAGAAGGAGUGCCUUAUUUAUAAGGUUGCAAUAACAAGAUCCAAGCAACUGUUUAUCAAAAACACAGGUCUCCGCUAAGUCGUAAGACGAUGUAUGGGGGCUGACGCCUGCCCAGUGCCAGAAGGUUAAAGAAGUUGGUUAGCAUUAGCGAAGCUGAUAACUGAAGCCCUGGUGAACGGCGGCCGUAACAAUAACGGUCCUAAGGUAGCGAAAUUCCUUGUCGGGUAAGUUCCGACCCGCACGAAAGGCGUAAUGAUUUGGAUACUGUCUCAGAGAGGGGCUCGGUGAAAUAGACUUGUCUGUGAAGAUGCGGACUACCUGCACCAGGACAGAAAGACCCUAUGAAGCUUUACUGUAACUUGAAAUUGAAAUUGGACUUUAUUUGCGCAGUAUAGGUGGGAGGCAUUGAUAAUAUUCUUGCGGGAAUGUUGGAGCCAUCAGUGAGAUACCACUCUUGUAAUGUUAGAUUUCUUACUUUGGAUCAUUAUCUGGUCAAAGGACAGUUUCAGGGCAGUUUGACUGGGGCGGUCGCCUCCUAAAUGGUAACGGAGGCGCACAAAGGUUUCCUCUGAACGGGUAGAAAUCGUAUCUAGAGUGUAAAGGCAUAAGGAAGCUUGACUGUGAGACCUACAAGUCGAGCAGGGACGAAAGUCGGUCUUAGUGAUCUGACGGUGCUGAGUGGAAAGGCCGUCACUCAACGGAUAAAAGUUACUCUAGGAUAACAGGCUGAUCUCCCCCAAGAGUUCACAUCGACGGGGAGGUUUGGCACCUCGAUGUCGGCUCAUCGCAUCCUGGGGCGGUAGUACGUCCCAAGGGUUGGGCUGUUCGCCCAUGAAAGCGGUACGCGAGCUGGGUUCAGAACGUCGUGAGACAGUUCGGUCCAUAUCCGGUGUAGGCGUUAGAAUAUUGAGAGGAGCCUUCUUUAGUACGAGAGGACCGAGAAGGACAUACCUCUGGUGUACCAGUUAUCGUGCCAACGGUAAACGCUGGGUAGCUAUGUAUGGAGAGGAUAACCGCUGAAAGCAUCUAAGUGGGAAGCCCACCACAAGAUAAGUA